GAAAUGCGAUAAGUAAUGUGAAUUGCAGAAUUCAGUGAACCAUCGAAUCUUUGAACGCACCUUGCGCUCCUUGGUAUUCCUUGGAGCAUGCCUGUUUGAGUAUCAUGAAAUCUUCAAAGUAAAUCUUUUGUUAACUCAAUUGGUUUCUACUUUGGUAUUGGAGGUCUUUGCAGCUUCACACCUGCUCCUCUUUGUUCAUUAGCUGGAUCUCAGUGUUAUGCUUGGUUCCACUCGGCGUGAUAAGUUAUCUAUCGCUGAGGACACUGUAAAAGUUGGCCAAGGUAAAUGCAGAUGAACCGCUUCUAAUAGUCCAUUGACUUGGACAAUACUUUUAUGAUCUGAUCUCAAAUCAGGUAGGACUACCCGCUGAACUUAAGC
This 378-nucleotide unclassified non-coding RNA is filed under the name plant metagenome. RNAcentral's name for it is "partial contains 5.8S ribosomal RNA, internal transcribed spacer 2, and large subunit ribosomal RNA". The stretch from base 1 to 105 matches the Rfam family "5.8S ribosomal RNA", at positions 50 to 154 of the family's 154-position model. The record is from RNAcentral.